This 410-nucleotide ribosomal RNA is filed under the name uncultured eukaryote. Its description in RNAcentral is "bacterial SSU rRNA". It matches the Rfam family "Eukaryotic small subunit ribosomal RNA", at positions 592 to 1000 of the family's 1831-position model. The record is from RNAcentral.
CAAUAGCGUAUAUUAAAGUUGUUGCGGUUAAAAAGCUCGUAGUUGGAUUUCUGCUGAGGACGACCGGUCCGCCCUCUGGGUGAGUAUCUGGCUCGGCCUUGGCAUCUUCUUGGGGAACGUAACUGCACUUGACUGUGUGGUGCGGUAUCCAGGACUUUUACUUUGAGGAAAUUAAGAGUGUUUCAAGCAGGCGCACGCCUUGAAUACAUUAGCAUGGAAUAAUAAGAUAGGACCUUGGUUCUAUUUUGUUGGUUUCUAGAGCUGAGGUAAUGAUUAAUAGGGACAGUUGGGGGCGAUUUUAUUCUAUUGUCAGAGGUGAAAUUCUUGGAUUAACGGUAAGAAAACGUAACUGCGAAAGACAUCUUGCCAAGGAUGUUUUCUAUUGAUCAAGAACGAAAGUUAGGGAGUCG